UGCCAGCCGCCGCGGUAAUACGGAGGGGGUUAGCGUUGUUCGGAAUUACUGGGCGUAAAGCGCACGUAGGCGGAUUAGUAAGUUAGAGGUGAAAUCCCAGGGCUCAACCCUGGAACUGCCUCCAAAACUCCUAGUCUAGAGUUCGAGAGAGGUGAGUGGAAUUCCGAGUGUAGAGGUGAAAUUCGUAGAUAUUCGGAGGAACACCAGUGGCGAAGGCGGCUCACUGGCUCGAUACUGACGCUGAGAUCCGAAAGUGCGGGGAGCAAACAGGAUUAGAUA
This 279-nucleotide ribosomal RNA is filed under the name uncultured bacterium. Its description in RNAcentral is "partial 16S ribosomal RNA". It matches the Rfam family "Bacterial small subunit ribosomal RNA", at positions 506 to 784 of the family's 1533-position model. The record is from RNAcentral.